Molecule: unclassified non-coding RNA, 352 nt
Filed under: soil metagenome
Description: partial contains 5.8S ribosomal RNA, internal transcribed spacer 2, and large subunit ribosomal RNA
Rfam family: 5.8S ribosomal RNA (bases 1-120)
Source: RNAcentral
GAUGAAGAACGUAGCGAAAUGCGAUAAGUAAUGUGAAUUGCAGAAUUCAGUGAAUCAUCGAAUCUUUGAACGCACAUUGCGCCCGCCAGUAUUCUGGCGGGCAUGCCUGUUCGAGCGUCAUUACAACCCUCAGGCCCCCGGGCCUGGCGUUGGGGAUCGGCGGAGCCCCCCGUGGGCACACGCCGUCCCCCAAAUACAGUGGCGGUCCCGCCGCAGCUUCCAUCGCGUAGUAGCUAACACCUCGCGACUGGAGAGCGGCGCGGCCACGCCGUAAAACACCCAACUCUUCUGAAGUUGACCUCGAAUCAGGUAGGAAUACCCGCUGAACUUAAGCAUAUCAAUAAGCGGAAGA